GAUGAACGCUAGCGGGAGGCCUAACACAUGCAAGCCGAGCGGUAGAGUCUCUUCGGAGACUUGAGAGCGGCGCACGGGUGCGGAACACGUGUGCAACCUGCCUUUAUCUGGGGGAUAGCCUUUCGAAGGGAAGAUUAAUACCCCAUAAUAUACUGGAUGGCAUCAUCUGUUAUUGAAAACUCCGGUGGAUAGAGAUGGGCACGCGCAAGAUUAGAUAGUUGGUGAGGUAACGGCUCACCAAGUCAGCGAUCUUUAGGGGGCCUGAGAGGGUGAUCCCCCACAAUGGUACUGAGAAAAGGACCAGACUCCUACGGGAGGCAGCAGAGAGGAAUAUUGGACAAGGGGUGAGAGCAUGAUACAGCCAUCCCGCGUGAAGGACGACGGCCCUAUGGGUUGUAAACUUCUUUUGUAUAGGGAUAAACCUAGAUACGUGUAUCUAGCUGAAGGUACUAUACGAAUAAGCACCGGCUAACUCCGUG
Molecule: ribosomal RNA, 479 nt
Filed under: uncultured bacterium
Lineage: Bacteria
Description: partial 16S ribosomal RNA
Rfam family: Bacterial small subunit ribosomal RNA
Source: RNAcentral